Molecule: long non-coding RNA, 108 nt
Organism: Haliotis rubra (blacklip abalone)
Lineage: Eukaryota; Metazoa; Mollusca; Gastropoda; Lepetellida; Haliotidae
Exons: 3
Source: RefSeq, a predicted model, not a curated record
GAUUGAGUUGAGUUGAGUUAAUAUCUUAAGUCACAUCGGCUGUAUUUAAGCCAUAUCGCGACUAUAUCAAAAUAUUUUAUUGUCAGGGGCGGUGGGGUAGCCUAGUGG